UACGUAGGGGGCCAGCGUUGUCCGGAUUUAUUGGGCGUAAAGCGCACGCAGGCGGCCUGGCAAGUCGGUCGUGAAAUCCUCCGGCUCAACUGGAGGGGGUCGGCCGAAACUGCCAGGCUCGAGGUCGGAAGGGGGAAGCGGAAUUCCCGGUGUAGUGGUGGAAUGCGUAGAUAUCGGGAGGAACACCAGUGGCGAAGGCGGCUUCCUGGUCCGACACUGACGCUGAGGUGCGAAAGCGUGGGGAGCGAUCCGG
This 253-nucleotide ribosomal RNA is filed under the name uncultured bacterium. RNAcentral's name for it is "partial 16S ribosomal RNA". It matches the Rfam family "Bacterial small subunit ribosomal RNA", at positions 524 to 776 of the family's 1533-position model. The record is from RNAcentral.